This 1331-nucleotide long non-coding RNA is filed under the name Homo sapiens (human). RNAcentral's name for it is "HSALNT0379351". Lineage: Eukaryota; Metazoa; Chordata; Mammalia; Primates; Hominidae. The record is from RNAcentral.
AGAGCCUGUGGUGCCACAAGGGAACAGCCUGUGAGCCUGUCCUCCACUGCGCCCUGCGCUUCUGACUCAGACUAACACACCAGGAUUUUCCAUUUCAACAGCAGUGUCUGUGGUCCUCUUUUCUAAGUGAAAGAGUCCAAGCUAAGGUUGGCUAGAGGGAUCCUUGCAGCUCCGGAGCAGGUGUAGGGCUGAUACCAGCCCUCUGCUGUUAUUUGACAGCUUGCAAAAUGUACAAACUGGCCAGAUACAGGUGUGUGCUUGCAUGUGUGUGCAUACACACACAUAUCUGAAUAUAUAUGUGUGUGUAUCUACACAUCAUACUAAUAAACUAAUAACUUCCAUGGGCAAUAAAUUUUCAAAUUUCUUAAGGAUUCAGAUAAGGAGAAUGUAUAUAAUCAACACAUUAAUUAUUAUGCAUACAUAAACAUACUAAUACUCUUAAUACGCCCUUUGAAAAAAUAUAUUCAACCAGCUUAAUUUUUCUAAUUUUGUUUUUGUUAAAUCCUGUUUUCUUAUUAACUAUUGAUUGCUAAGCAGCAGGCAGUGUGCUAAGUAUGUUACCUGGAUUAUCUGGUUAAUCCUUCCAAUAGCUACACGGUGAAGACACAGAUGUCCACAUCUUCUGCAGAUAAGGAAACUGAGGGGUAAUAAUAAAUAAUUUGCACAACACAGCACAAAGCUGAGGAGCCAACACUGGACCUGACGAAGUCCCAUUCUGGAAGCCAAACUCCCAACUGCUAAGCUCUGCUUGAAUUCUCAUUGAGCAUCUCGCUUCUUAAAAGUUUCAACAACUCAGCAGUCUAUAAUCCAACUCGCCUUCUCCACAAUGCCAAAAGUGCAAUGAGCUUCAUGCUGAAUACUGAUUUGAAGUGUGGUUCACCACACAGACUUAAAUUGUCCUUCCCACAACUUUAUCUGAGAAGCAUGACAACGGUGACAAUCACAGGACUAGUUUUAUUGGUCAGGAUGUGGUGUUACUAUAUUAAAGCGCUUCAAGUUUUCAUAGCGCUCGUCAAACAGAGACCUCGGAACGCUCUGCAGACAUUAAUUAAUGUUCGCUCCGGCCCUGGAAGCCAUUUCACCAAUGGAAAUUCCGAUGAGAAAGGAAGAAACGAGGGGUUCAAGGCCGCGCCGUUGUGAGUCCGCUGCGGAACUAGGAACUGAAACCCCGUGGUUCCCAAUGAGCCAGCGAAAGUCUGUCGAAGUAUUGAGCACCCCUAUUGAAGACUGUGGGAGUUUUGGCGGCUUAAUGGGAUUGUGUUCGGUCCUUCAGGCUCUCCUUUAAAAGAUUCCAUGGCACCAACGAGACUCCAAUAAAAGGGCCUCUCUAA